GCUGUGCUGGUUCACUGGUAGAAUUUUUACCUUCCAGGAAGGAGACCUGGGUUCGAUUCCCAGCCAAUGUA
RNAcentral lists this transfer RNA (71 nucleotides) under Loxodonta africana (African savanna elephant). It matches the Rfam family "tRNA". Rfam says of the family: Transfer RNA (tRNA) molecules are approximately 80 nucleotides in length. The record is from Rfam by way of RNAcentral. Lineage: Eukaryota; Metazoa; Chordata; Mammalia; Proboscidea; Elephantidae.